RNAcentral lists this ribosomal RNA (497 nucleotides) under uncultured bacterium. RNAcentral's name for it is "partial 16S ribosomal RNA". It matches the Rfam family "Bacterial small subunit ribosomal RNA", at positions 28 to 507 of the family's 1533-position model. The record is from RNAcentral.
GAUGAACGCUGGCGGCGUGCCUAAUACAUGCAAGUCGAGCGAACAGACGAGGAGCUUGCUCCUCUGACGUUAGCGGCGGACGGGUGAGUAACACGUGGAUAACCUACCUAUAAGACUGGGAUAACUUCGGGAAACCGGAGCUAAUACCGGAUAACAUGUUGAACCGCAUGGUUUAACAGUGAAAGACGGUCUUGCUGUCACUUAUAGAUGGAUCCGCGCCGCAUUAGCUAGUUGGUAAGGUAACGGCUUACCAAGGCAACGAUGCGUAGCCGACCUGAGAGGGUGAUCGGCCACACUGGAACUGAUACACGGUCCAGACUCCUACGGGAGGCAGCAGUAGGGAAUCUUCCGCAAUGGGCGAAAGCCUGACGGAGCAACGCCGCGUGAGUGAAGAAGGUCUUCGGAUCGUAAAACUCUGUUAUUAGGGAAGAACAAAUGUGUAAGUAACUAUGCACGUCUUGACGGUACCUAAUCAGAAAGCCACGGCUAACUACGUG